RNAcentral lists this ribosomal RNA (1354 nucleotides) under metagenome. RNAcentral's name for it is "bacterial LSU rRNA". It matches the Rfam family "Bacterial large subunit ribosomal RNA", at positions 1564 to 2925 of the family's 2925-position model. The record is from RNAcentral.
UGAGUACGAGAGUCUACGGACUCGAAGUGUGUGAUAUCAAGCUUCCUAGAAAAUCCCGGACCACGUUAAUCUGAUUCACCCGUACCCUAAACCGACACAGGUGGGAUGGUUGAGAAUACUAAAGGGCGCGAGAUAACUCUCUCUAAGGAACUCGGCAAAAUGGCCCCGUAACUUCGGGAGAAGGGGUGCCCAUCGCAAGAUGGGUCGCAGUGAAGAGUCCCAGGCGACUGUUUACCAAAAACACAGGUUUCCGCGAAGUCGUAAGACGAAGUAUGGGAGCUGACGCCUGCCCAGUGCCGGAAGGUUAAGGAAGUUGGUCAGCCCUUGAGGUGAAGCUGACGACCGAAGCCCCGGUGAACGGCGGCCGUAACAAUAACGGUCCUAAGGUAGCGAAAUUCCUUGUCAGGUAAGUUCUGACCCGCACGAAAGGCGUAACGAUCUGGGAGCUGUCUCGGAGAGAGGCUCGGCGAAAUAGGAUUGUCUGUGAAGAUACGGACUACCUGCACCUGGACAGAAAGACCCUAUGAAGCUUUACUGUAGCCUGGCAUUGGGUUCGGGCUUUAACUGCGCAGAAUAGGUGGGAGACUAUGAUCUAAUGCUUGUGGGCAUUAGGGAGUCACCAGUGAGAUACCACUCUGUUAAAGCUAGAAUUCUAACCUGCAUCCGUUAUCCGGAGUGGGAACAUUGUCAGGUGGGCAGUUUGACUGGGGCGGUCGCCUCCUAAAUGGUAACGGAGGCGCGCAAAGGUUCUCUCAGGCUGGUUGGAAAUCAGCCGUUGAGUGUAAAGGUAUAAGAGAGCUUGACUGUGAGACCAACAAGUCGAACAGGGACGAAAGUCGGCCUUAGUGAUCCGACGGUAGUGGGUGGAAGCGCCGUCGCUCAACGAAUAAAAGUUACUCUAGGGAUAACAGGCUGAUCUCCCCCAAGAGUUCACAUCGACGGGGAGGUUUGGCACCUCGAUGUCGGCUCAUCGCAACCUGGGGCGGUAGUACGUCCCAAGGGUUGGGCUGUUCGCCCAUUAAAGCGGUACGUGAGCUGGGUUCAGAACGUCGUGAGACAGUUCGGUCCAUAUCCGGUGUAGGCGUAGGAUUAUUGAGAGGAGCCUUCCUUAGUACGAGAGGACCGGGAAGGACGCACCGCUAGUGUGCCUGUUAUCGUGCCAACGGUAAACGCAGGGUAGCUAUGUGCGGAGUGGAUAACCGCUGAAAGCAUCUAAGUGGGAAGCCCACCUCAAGAUGAGUAAUCCCAUGGGGUUAACCCAGUAAGGUCACGGGAAGACCACCCGUUGAUAGGUUCUAGAUGGAAGCUCAGUAAUGAGUGCAGUCGAGGAAUACUAAUAGACCGAGGGCUUGAC